AAAAGAAACUAAAUAGGAUUUCCAUAGUAACUGCGAGUGAACUGGAAUUAGCCCAUCACGAAAUCUAUAUUAUAAUAAUAAUAUCGAAAUGUCGUGUAUAGGUUUUAUUAUUAUUAAUAAAUUAUUAUUAAAUAAUUGUAUUUAAAUAUACAGCCACAGAAGGUGCCAGCCCUGUUAUUUAAUAAUAUUUAUUAAAUUUAUAAAACUUUAGAGUCGUGUUGCUUGGAAGUGCAGCACAAAGUUGGUGAUAAACAUCAUCUAAGGCUAAAUAUUCCUAUGAAUCCGAUAGCGAACAAGUACUGUGAAGGAAAAUUGCAAAGUACUCCGGAGAGAGAGUUAAAGAGGACGUGAAACCGAUACGAUGGAAGCAUACAGAGCCAGUUGCACUAUUAUUAAUAUUUUUUUAUUAAUAAUUUUAAGCAUGGGUAUAUUGAUUAUUAAUUAGUUAUUUAUUAAAGAGUGAUAAAAUUUUUUUAAAUUUUGUUAACUUUAAUAAAAUAAUUAUAUUUAUAAUUAAUAUUUAUUAUUAUUAAUGUAUUAAUAAUAUUUUAAUUAUUAAUAUAAUAUAAGACACAUGUGUUAAAUAUUAUUUAUUGGUAAUUAUUAUAUUAUUAUAAAUUAAUAAACCUAUGUAAUCCUGGUAUGCUGUAUGUCCCGUCUUGAAACACGGACCAAGGAGUGUAUUGCUAUGGCAAGUCAUUGAUAUUAUUAAUAUCAAAGGCAUAAUGAAAAUAA
RNAcentral lists this ribosomal RNA (735 nucleotides) under Strongyloides stercoralis. RNAcentral describes it as "eukaryotic LSU rRNA". It matches the Rfam family "Eukaryotic large subunit ribosomal RNA", at positions 57 to 728 of the family's 3401-position model. Lineage: Eukaryota; Metazoa; Nematoda; Chromadorea; Rhabditida; Strongyloididae. The record is from RNAcentral.